UCGACGAAUGAAACCGUGGCUCCGGCAUGCUGUAUCGCACCAAGUUCAGGUGCUUCGACUUGCUGUUCACACGCGGGUAACAACCAACAUGGCUUUCAUCUCAUCGCACUUGAAGAGGUUGCAGCUCUGCCAUAUGUACUUCGAGGGAUGCUCUCUGGACUUUUCGAGUUGUCAGGUGCUAGAGGAGUUAGAGCUGACAAGUUGUUACAUCCACACGAAUAUCUUGUCCCAAUCAAUAUGGCAUCUUAACAUUCCGGGAAGGGGUUUUGAUAUGAGGACCCCCACUUGUAUUUCUGCUCCAAAUCUCAUUGGCUUGAGACUAGCUCCAUGUUGGGGUUUGACUCCUUUUCUUGAUAGCAUGCCGUCACUGGUGACAGCAUCUGUUAUGCUUGAAGAAGGGAUAUGUUUUUGUCUAGAUCCAUCAUGUGUGAGGUGCAAUGGCCAAAUCGGUAAAAGUGACUGCUCUGUGGUCUUCAAACGUUUUUCAGGUGCUACGAAUUUGGAGUUGGCAAUAUCUGAUCCCGCUAUGUUUAUUUUCAGAAAUGAUUUGAAAUGGUGCCCUAUGUUCUGCAAGCUGAAAACGUUGUUGCUCAAUGACUGGUGUGUGAGUUAUGACUUCCGCGGACUAAUUUACUUUCUCCAGCACUCACCUAUUCUAGAGACGCUUACGCUUCAGUUUGAUUCUCUUACUUUUGAGAGAUUUGUCUCACUACGUGUAGCCCUUGUCCCAAGAGGAAAAGGCCGUAACUCAAUUGAACAAUCGUUGAUAUCAUAGCAUCUCAAGGUAGUCAAAAUUAUGUAUGCGCCGAAGAGAGAUAUGAUAGUUGACCUUAUUUUAAAGGUGCUCUCUACCCAUGGAGUACCUUCUGAGAAAAUUGAGUUCGACUAGGUAGGGUUCUGUUUGAGCUGGAGGUGUUCAGUUCAACUGGUCUACUUUGUCUUCCGCCAUGCGAACUUCAGUUCAACUGGUCUCACUCUGGAGAUGAUCAAGUGUCGCCAUGCUGCUAGCGGCGCAGUCUGCUUAUUUCCUCAACUCGGCGAUAGGCCUGAACUAUUUUACCCGCUCAAGAACUAUGCUCAUUUUUAUUAAGACGUGUGUGGAGCCUUUCCCGUGUUGUUUCAGGCUCGGCUAUGACCGGAGCGUAUGAGUCUACUUGUGCAACUGCUAUAUAAUUUAGCCUUAGGGUGUCGUUGAUACCGAGUGUUAUGACCGGCAUAUUAGGUGGGCUGUGGCCCAAGUUAUCUUAUUGUUAUUAGGAGCUUAGCCUAAUUAUCUUAUCGGUAUUAGGGUCGUCUGCUUAGGAGUCAAGUAAACCUCUCUAUAUAAGGAGAGGAGAUGUAUCAAUCUAAUCAAGCAAGAAGUAAUCAGUAUUUUCUCGGCUUCCCUUAGGGAGC
Non-coding RNA from Aegilops tauschii subsp. strangulata, 1395 nucleotides. The record is from RefSeq and is a predicted model, not a curated record. Lineage: Eukaryota; Viridiplantae; Streptophyta; Magnoliopsida; Poales; Poaceae.